This 253-nucleotide ribosomal RNA is filed under the name uncultured bacterium. Its description in RNAcentral is "partial 16S ribosomal RNA". It matches the Rfam family "Bacterial small subunit ribosomal RNA", at positions 524 to 776 of the family's 1533-position model. The record is from RNAcentral.
UACGUAGGGUGCGAGCGUUAAUCGGAAUUACUGGGCGUAAAGCGUGCGCAGGCGGCUUUGCAAGACAGAUGUGAAAUCCCCGGGCUUAACCUGGGAACUGCAUUUGUGACUGCAUGGCUGGAGUGCGGCAGAGGGGGAUGGAAUUCCGCGUGUAGCAGUGAAAUGCGUAGAUAUGCGGAGGGACACCGAUGGCGAAGGCAAUCCCCUGGGCCUGCACUGACGCUCAUGCACGAAAGCGUGGGGAGCAAACAGG